Condylura cristata (star-nosed mole) is the source of this 1024-nucleotide long non-coding RNA. RefSeq lists it as uncharacterized. The record is from RefSeq and is a predicted model, not a curated record. NCBI's taxonomy places the organism in Eukaryota, Metazoa, Chordata, Mammalia, Eulipotyphla, Talpidae. The transcript has 3 exons.
GGAUCCCGCGGUGGAGGCCUGCGACCCGGCUCCCGCUCCAGCCCGCGGGAGAGACGCAUCCAAGCGUAUUAGCAAGAUCCAGCUGCCGACCCCUCCAUUCCGCUCGCUGGCGACAGCGGCGGCGCCCACUUCCAGAGGUGUCAGGUCAGCGGGUUGCGGAGGAUUGUGCAGGUAGCAAAGGGUGAGCAAGUUCUCCAGAGGCUCCAGUCGGCAUCCAGAACAUGCAUCAUUCUUAGAACUAUCACUCUGCAGCUGGCUGGAAUAAAAAGGCCCAUCAGCUGCAAAUGGAUAGAAGAAUCUGAUAUUAGUGAAGACAGAGAUCCAGGACUUCUACCUGGAGCUACAUCCUCUAGAAGCCCCUGUUCCAAGCACCCAACCCCAUCCUACCGGUCACAACGAGGGCUGUGUGUGGCGUUUCUUGAAAACUCGGAACACAGAUUCCUUCAGAAGCUCCACAGUGGGCAGGAAACUACAGAAACUGGCUACUGAAGAGGUUGUCCACGUGCUAGAGCUCCUCUAGAAGAAAGAGAGUAACUGAGUGCUGGAUGUUAUUCAUUCAUGCUUCCCACCUGCAUGGACUGCAGAGGGCGCUGUCAGACCCAGCUUCAGUAAGAGCCACCCUCUAAAGAUCUCCACAGGAGGCUUCACCAGAGACAGGUGGUCAGCCCAGGGUCUCUACUGCCUUAGGUCCUACGUGGACAUCUUCACAGCUGAGUGGAAUAGUAUUUCUUCACCUGCCUGUGCUCCACACAGCAAAAGGGAAAUUCUGCCUUCUGCUCUCUUUUGUUCCUGUGAUUUUUUUUCUUUUCUUUCUUUUUUUUGGGGGGUAGGAAGAGUUUUAACUAUUUCAAUUCCUUUAGUAGUUAAAGGACUGUUCACGAUUUCUUUUUCUUCUUGAGCCAGUUUUGGCAAGUUAUUGUUUGAUAAGCACUGGUUCAUUUUGUCUGUUGUCUCAAUUUAUUGGCACAAAGUUCCCUUGGCUUUUUUUUUAUUCUCUGCUGUAUAUAAUUUGUAGUUAUGUCUC